AAGAUAAAGAGGGCCCUCACGCUCAUAAGCCUCCAUGUCAAGGUGAAAGUUGGAGUCUAUUAUAGCUGAUAUGUUGUACUUUUGACCAUUGGACAUGAAUAGUUCAUCUGAAAAUAUGGGAAAUCUUCUUGCGUUGUAAAGGUUUGUGGAAUAAGCAAUGGGCACAAUGGCAUAUAUGAAAAUGGCAAAACCGGCAGCAACAUUAGCCGUAGCAAACCAUGGACUGGCCAAAGGGCUACCAAGAUAAGAACAUAUACUUGACCAGUCAAAACCAAUAGCACCAACUCCAAGACCAUGCAACCCUGAACCUAACUGGUGUGCUAUUACGGAAGUGGGAAACAUCCAGCAAAUCCACGAAAUCGAUGUUAACGAAGGGAACAAGUAGCCAGGAAAAACAUAAUAAGCAAAACUGCAAAGAAAUGCUAUAAGGAAAAACUGAUUCCGAGUUAACCCUCCCUUUCGUCUCUCCUCUUUCUCAUGUAGCGCCCUGAAAUAACAUAGCUGUUCUUCAUAAUUUUGACACCAUUAUCGAAACCGAUAUUACAUCAAUCAAUUAUUAGGUACAAUUGUAGAAAGUUUAAGCUUGAGCAGCAACUACAAGGAUUUGUUAGGGGAAAAAAUUUCUUUAACACCUAAAAAGUAAAGCACAUGACAAACCAUUAUAAUGAUAUAUUAAUAUUUAAAUUAAAAAAUAAAUUAAAUAUACUAAAAAUAUUAGUUUAUUAGAAUGUAAAAUGUAUGUUUUGUACUGUGAUGUUAAGAUACCAGCACCUUAAUAGGACUGUCAAAAUGUGCCACCAACCCGCUGCUAGAACUUUUUGGUAACCCACCAAUAUGAACUGAUGGGUUCGGCUACUUACACUUUUCAAUGUAUUUUUUAAUUUAUUUUAAUAUAUUUAAAAAAUGAGUUUACAGCAUAGAAGAAACCUAGUUAUAAUAAUUAAUAUUAUUUUUUUACAAUAAAAAAUAAAAACAAAUAAUAAUAAAAUUAAAUCAAAUUUUAAUAUUCUAAUAAAAUAAUAUUUAAUAUAAAAAAUAAAAUAAAUAUUAAUAAUACUUUAAUAAAUGGAAUGAUAUAGGAAAAAACUUAUAUAAAUAAAGUUUCUAUAUAAUUUCAGUUGAAGUAUGUACUAAGGAAUGAGCAUGUACCUGAAGAGCGAGACCUGAAAAAAAAUUUUGGGGCCACCACAUGGCAGCGGGCUCCACGAGGUAUUUUCGGAAUAUCCCGGCCCAACCGAAGCCCAAAACCUGAGACGUUAUAACUACCAAUAACGCGGUUAAAAUCGUUAAGUCCUUCCGGUAGAACAGUUUAACGGCGCUAACGAAAUAGAUGGCGUAGACGCUAGCGGCUCCCGAACUGGCGAAGAUAGUGAUAAGUACGUGCUCCUUCACGUUGAAUUUCCCUGGGUUCAGCGUGAACUCCCACUUCGUCCCCUUCAUGAACACGCGCCUUGUCACCGCCGCCGCCAUCAGGUGUCCCGCCGGCACCACCGCUAUCUGCGCCGAUAUCGCCGUCACCGACAAUGGCUCCCUCCGGAAUCCGAAGAACUGGUUCAGGAAGGAGAGAAGCACGCACGCUAGGGUUCCCAAAAUCCAUGUCCGGAAAGUGAAGGAAGGCAGCGACGGAUCGUCGCUCACAGGAACCGUCAGCGCUACCUGCUCGAUCGGAGAAUUCUCGGCGGCCGGCGAUUUCUCCGCCUCGGAGAUGGCAUCGUUGUUGUGAUGGCGCCUUUUAACUGAAAAGUGAGUCAACGAAUAUGAGAAUUAGGAAGAAAAGCAUGAUUGUUUGGAUCUCUUAAUGAAGAAAAAACAAAAAAGUACGUUUGGACUAUCAGAGAAAACGAACUUAGAGGCGCAUUAAUUUCAGGAUCAUUACACAUGUUGCUUCAAUUUGUUUCUUCCCCACUUUUUUCAUAAAAGCAAAAAAAUAAAUUGAAUGAGAAGCUCUGUUUUUAUCAUACAACAGAAAAAUAGGAACCAGAGAAUCAGAAUCAAUCGAAAAAUCAUUUUUUAAAACUGGAUUUUUUUUUUUUUCAGACUUUCAAUAAACAAAGGUAGUGAGCUACGAAACUCGAACAUUCAUCUUAAAUGGUGUCUUAGAUGUCGGAUAUUCGUAUUGAACACUGACCCUCAUAUGAUACUUGUAAGAUACGUAUUUGCGAAGUGUCCAAUUUAAAAAGUAUUUGUUGGAUUUCUGACAAUUCUAUUACAGUUUUAACACAAUCUUAAAAAAGAAAAAUAUAUUAAUUUUCUAAAAACUCAAACUUAUAAAUUUUUAUUAUGAUUAUAGAAAUAAGAAACAAAUCAUUGUGAAUCAAUCAUAAAAAUACAUCUUUCUUCUUCAAAAAAUAAUCUGAAAUAUACUUGUGGACAUAAAUAUUUAUUGUCAAUUUAUAUAAUUUAUAAUUCUAUAAUAUAUAGAUUUGUAUAUCUGUAUCCUACAUUUUAGAAAUUAUACGUAUAUUCAUAUCCGUAUUGUAUUAGUUUUCGUGUGAGUGUUUGUAUUAUAUAGUUAGUAGAGUAUUUGUUUACCAAAACAUUUUAUACCGAAUAGAGAUUAGGAAAACGUGAUACAAUCAAACAAAUAAUAUAGCAUAAAAAUAAAUUAUAAAAUAUAGUAUAAAAGUAUUUUAAGAAUAAUACUAUAGAAAAAACUUACGAGCAGUGUUAGUGUAUGUGUUAUCCGUUACAUAAAUUUAGAGCUUUUUACUUUGAAAAUAUUAUUAAAUGCAUUAUGUAUUGUCAAUGUAAUUUUAAAUAUAAUUAAAGAAAAAUACUAAUAGUAAUUAUGUAUUGUAAUUACUUUUAAUAUUAUUUUAGGAUGGGAUAUCCCACGGAAGAAUUAAAACGAUAAAUAAAUAAAUAAAAUAUUUAUAUGAAUUUAAAACACUCCGCAUGAUUAAGAUAGGAAUUCUCCGCAUGUAGAUAGUAUUAAGAAAUAGAUCUCACAUAAAGUAAUAAAUUUAAAUUUAACUUGAUUUUAUAAAAACCGAUUCAAUAAAUAAUUUAGUUAUAUUAUAGUUGAUACAUUGAAGUUAAUGAGAGAUAUAACUAAAUUAAAAUAUAUAUAGAGAGAAAUGCAAUUUCAUUUUAUUGAGUCGUUUUGGUAAGGUUAAAUUAGAUUUAAAUCUUAUUAUCUUAAUAUGAUAUUAGAGUCUAUUCCAUAUUAGUUAGAUUUAUCGUGUUACUUACAUUAUCACUUUAUUCUUAUGCUCGAAAUGUUUGAUAUUUUGUGCAAACCUCACUUUACUGAGUUAGUUUUUUUAUGUUGGGUUAUAUUUAAAUUCUACCUUAAUAUAGUAUUAUAGUCAUUAAGAAUUUAUCUUAGUCGAGAUUAUUUAGACAUAUUAUGUCAUCCGCUAAUGGAUUCUAAAAUUUCACAUUUGAUGUCCUUGUUGUGAAGAAGUAUAUUGGAGAUCUCAAAUAACUAUAAAUAUAACCAAAUUAUAAUAUACAAAUAGGUGAAAACCUCACUUUAACUAAUCAAUUGUGUAAAAUUGAGUUAAGAUUAAAUUUGACUACCUUAAUAAAAAAAUAGCUUCUCAAAGUCAAAAUCCAACUCUCCAUGUCCUCUAAAUUUUAGACUUUUCAAUUAUACAAACCAGAAAAACCAUAAAAAUCAGAAAAAUAAUUUAGUUAUAUUAUAGUUGAUACUAUAAAGUGUUUAAAAGCCAGAAAAAUCAUAUGGUUUGCAGGAAACCAUCAAUUCUUAAAUCCAAAACAAUAUCAACUAUGCACAUAGUUGUCCUAAUAAUGCCAAACUUCAAUAUGAUCAUGUCUUAGCUCACACAAUGAUCAUAAUGACAUCAACCUCCAAUAGUUUCAGAUUUACGCAUACAAAGGUAUCAUGAUGAAAUUUAUCUCAUCAAAUUGAAAUGUAUAAUGUCAAAAAUAUAUUAUUUUUUUAAGAAAAUGGCAUGAAUCUAUAGCUCCCACUAACCAACAAUGGCAAAAGAAAUCAUGAUGUCACUUGAAAACAAAAGUUCUAAGUCACUUGGCCUAGGGAUCAACCAGCAUGAAAUUUGUGUCCACAUGUUCUACCAUAAUGGAAUCAUCUUUCACAAGAUCUUUUACAAUCAAUCAUUUCAACUCUAAGUAGUUAGAUUCACUAUAAGACUUAUUAUUCUUUAUACAAAAUAAUGUAGAUUUUAUUGUAAAAAAUUGUGAGUGGCAUAAUAAUGAAGUCCACACUAUAAAUUGGUAACAACAUAAGCAACGAAAUUUUCUUGCAUUGUUAAAGAGACAAUAAGAAUAUGUUUCUUACUCUUCCAUCAUAUCACACCCUCAACUAUUGAGAUACUCGUGUUGUGGUAGUACUUUGCAUAUUGUGUUAUAUAGCUUAUUUGUUUUUAUCUAUUUUCUAUUUCUGUGUAUAGCUGCUUUUGCAAUUUUUUUUUCUUAUAUACCUUACAUAUAUCACGUUAUGUAACUUUUUUACCAUUAAAUGAAAAAUUUCUAACCUUCUAUCUUUCUUCUAUUUUAUCUUUCCUUAAAUUUAAGCUUUCAUUCCUCUUAAUAAAUAUUGCAUUACACAGGAACACAUCUUGACAUUCGUGUCAUUAGCUCCAAGAUGGUAAUAUAAUAUUCAAUAUGUAUCAUAAUAAGUUGAAUAGCGUGAUAUGUCUCCAUUAUUACUUUUUGUUCUUUCUUGUUUUUUGUUGGAUCUUGGUUUUUUGCUUCGCGUGUUGUUUUCUUACUUGUUGUCUUUCUCCAAAACAUCACACACAGAGAUGGAUCAUUACAUUAAUCAUGCAAGCCCUUCUUACUUCCAUCCUGGAGAGAAUCCCGAAACUGUGUUUGACUCCUCAACUCAACGAGAAAAAUUAUUAUUCUUGGAGUAGAAACAUGAUGUGUGUGAGGUGUUCACUUCUAUUCAAUAAUAAAUUGAAGUUCGCAAAUGACAAUCUUGAUGUUUCUGAUCGUGAAGACUAUUUGUAUGAACCUGGAAAGGUCCAACAUUAUUGUAAUCUCUUGGAUUAAUUGCAUAUUAUCUUUGAACAUUGUUGAAAGUUUGGUUUGUAUUGAUGUGGCCAAACAUCUUUGGAAAAAAUUCUUCAUUCUGAGACCGUCUUUAUCUUUUUAGCUCAAAUCAUUCUUCUUUAAUCCAAAUCUCCAAUUCACCCUAGAAACCUGCAAUUAACACCAAAUUUGGGAAUAAAAUGCUCUUAUUCAAAUAAAAAUCAUAAAAAAAGUGAAAACAUAUAAAUUCAUAAAUUAUGGGUUAUUUUAUAUGUAAAUUAGCAAAUAAUACUCAUAAGUGCCUAUAUUUUAAUAUGAAAUAUUACUAAAAUUAGACAUUGAUCAGUUCAUUCUUCUUACUUUUUUGUAUUUUGAAUAGCAUGGUAAUAUUUUAUCAUUUGAUUGAUGUUGAUGCCCAUAUAAAAGCAAUUUAUAUCGAUUCUUCACAGAUAAAAUUAUUAAAAGAGUCUCCUAAAUAUCGAUUCCUCACAUAUUUAUAAAAACUCCUUAGCAUUAGAUUAGAUAUUGAUAGCAAUUAAUAUUUCAAAUCUAUUCUUACCCUUCAAAUAUGUUAAGCAUUGUCAUUUGGGUCAGAAACUUAGAAGUAUUUUCCAAUCAAAUCUAAGGAUCUUGAUCACGAUACACGAGCAUUACAAAUAAAAUAAUAGUAUCAAUCAUCAAUCAAGAACAAAAUAUUAUAAUUAAGAGUUUAAACAGAUUACUCUCAAUCCCAAAUGGUAGAAUUAGUUAUUCAUGUUGGUCAUUACAAGCAUGGAAAGGAAGAAAAAAAUAUUCAAGAUGUUUCUCCUUGACUGCUACCAAUUUUAAGGUUUUCUAUCACCUCUUAUUCUCCCAAUUGAAUGUCUAGGGUUGUGCCUCCUGCUUCAUAUUCAAUCUAGUUGGACUUGAGUUAAGUGACUUCUCGCCUAGGCGUGAUUGGGCUAGCCUGGGCAAGUUGGAUGAAAACAGACUCAACGUCACUGGAGUGAUCUCGCCUAGGCGAGAUUGGGCUCGCUUGGGCAAGAUCCUCUGGGAGCUUUUGGCUUAGGUGAGGUUGGGCAAGUGUUGGAGCGUUCUAGCUUCCCAUUUUAGCUUUGUCUAGUCUUUUUUUGUCCUUUCAUCUUCAUUCUUUCCUAUAACAGAAUAUUAUAGUUAAGAGUUUGAACAAAUUACGUUUCAAUCCCAAAUGGUAGAAUUAGUCAUUCAUGUUGGUCAUUACAAGCAUAGAAAGCAAGAAAAGAAUAUUCAGGAUGUUUCUCCUUGACGACGGCCUCUUUUGGGUUUUUUAUAACCUCUUAUUCUCCCAAUUGAAUGUCUAAGGUUGUGCCUCAUGCCUCAUAUUUAACCUAGUUGGGUUUGAGCUAAGUGACUUCUCGCUUAGGCGUGAUUGGACUAGCCUAGGCGAGUUGGACAAAAACAGACUCAACGUCACUUGAGUGAUCUCGCCUGCACGAGAUUGGGCUUGCUUGGGCAAGAUUCUCUGGGAGCUUUUGGCUUAGGCGAGCUUGGACAAGUGCUGGAGCGUUCUAGCCUUCCUUUUUAGCUUUGUCUAGUCUCCUUUUGCCCUUUCAUCUUCAUUCUUCCCAAGAAUCCUAAAAUUACCACAAAUUUGAGAAUAAAUCGUUCUUAUUCAAAUUAUAAUCACAAAAUAUGUAAAAAGGUUUAAAUUCAUAAAUUAGGGAUUGUAUUAUAGUUAUUUUAUCAAUUAAUAUUCAUAAGUGUUUGUAUUUUAGUAUGAAAUAUUAUUGAAAUAUGACACUUAUUAAGGAUAAAUCAAUAUUUCUAGGAUAGUGUAUAUCACUUCAUAUACAAAUUUUGCAUUUUAGAUAUUCAAGGAUACAAUGUAAAUUUACAUCAUCAAUCAUAAAUAAAUCCGUUCUUUUAUAAAAUUUACACAACCUCUACCGUCACAGAAGAAAGAACCAUAGCAGCAUUUAUGAUAUCAUUGUCAAUGCUACAAGUCCAUGGCUUUAAAUUGUAGUCCACAGCAACAUGCUUGCAGUUUGCAAGGUACCUGCAACAUCUUUGUUGUAACAGUUGCAGCUACAUCAACCUGCCUGCAAGGCACUCUCAACUACAAUUUACAACCAUGGCUGCAUUAACAGUUUAACACCAUCAUAUCAUUUACAAGCUUAGUAAAGAGGACACCCUACAGAUUCAACACCUGGAGCAGUUGGACAUGAAGCUAAUGGGCACCCAUCUGAAUCAGUGCCCCACCAGUUUAGGCUGAUAUGUUCCAUCCCCAAGCAUAAGUAGAGCAAAACCCCCAUGAAGGCUAAACCAGCAUCAAGUGCCCCAGAUAAGACAUAGUUGUGUCGGCUCCACCAACCACGAUAGUAACGGUAAACAACAAAUCCUGAGACAAAUCCAACAAUGACCCAACUGGUGUAGUUUACUGCUGUAGCUGGAGGCAUAUCAGAUAAUGCACCCAAGAGCACAGGCACAGUGAUAAGCCUGAUCCAUUGUUUUUGAGGCAAAGCCUUGUGUGCUAGCCAAACUAAGAAAGGAGCUAUUGCUCCAGCCAAGAAAAACCAGUUAAUAGCCGAGUAGUGUCCAAGAUCUCCAAAAGUUCUACGGGGCCCUAUCAAACCCCAUAUCACAGACGCGUCAUAGAACACAUGAUCACCAGGACAAGUCCAAGGACUUCCUGCUGGAAGCAAUGCUCGUUCGCAUAUAUUUGGAACAGUGUUCAUGAGCCACCAUGCUGUUAGUAAAUGCACCACACCAGACAUUAAGGUGCCAACUACCUACAGAAUCAAGUAAGGGGAGUUAUGAUUCAUAUUUCACUAAUAAUUAAGUUAGUGUAUGUUUAGAUCAAAGUUUGAAAACUUAAAUUUGAAGAAACUUCAUUUUGUAAACUGAGUAUAACUCGUUCUUCUCUUUCAUUUCAAAUGAGUUUGAACUAUAAAAUUGUGACAAAACCCAAUUUAUAAUAAUAUAGGAUCCAACAAAAAGCCAAACAAGUUUUUCAGUUAUUAUUUUUGAACGUAUGUCUGAAUCAAACAUGUCCUCAGACUUUGAAAGGUCAUAUAACAGAAAAGCAAAAUAAAUAAAUAAAAAGAAUCACUUCUCUUUGAAAGCAGGGCGAGUAGGUGGGCAAACCUGUGCCAAGAACAUUUCUGUAGGAGGGAUCUUCAUGUAAUGGCCAAGCUUAAAAUCUUGUAAAAAGAAAAUUGCCUGCUUCAUGCUCACAUUACCAUACACUUUAAACAACAUGUUGGCAACCGGAUAUCCUGGGUAGAUGUAUCCAAUUAUGUAUUCUGUUAUUAUAUUCAAAGCUGGUGCCUUCACGACAUGGAAAAUUAGUUACUGUUAGGCUAUGUGAUUGAUAACGAAGGGGAAAAAAACAAACUAUUUAAGUCAUAUGCAGUAUUUGGAAUAUGAGAGGUAGCACCAAUACUUUAUUUACAUUAAUUAAGACUAAUAUGUGGUGCAAUCACUAAUUUAGUCCCACCAAUCCAACCGUUAAACUGGCAGUUAAUGUAAACCACCGGGCUGAACUUGAAGCAAACAAAAAUUGUACUUGGGUAUAAUUUAACUCUCAAAAAAUUGCACAUCCGUGUGGUCCCAAUUUAAUGUUGUACCACAAACUUUUAUCAAUUAACUUUACCAUUACCGAGAAUUUUAUAACUUGCUUACCUGAUUUGUGGUGGCUCUAAUUACUCCAACGGGAAGAGUAAAUGACAUGGCAACAACACAAGCUAACACUACACCCCACCAUGGUAGUUGGAGUUCAUUGUUGAAAUAUUCACAUAUAAAUAUAGUUGCAACGAUGUUGAACAGAAGAAUGCAAAGAAACCACCAUUCUGGAACUUGUUUGUAGUUCUUUCUCAUGAUCUUCGUGUGUAUAUCUAUCUUAUUCUCUUGAAAAGCAGACUUACUAAGUCUCAAUAUUUCACUGCAGUAUUAAGGCAACCAAUUCAACUACGGCGGCAGAUUAGUUCUUACAAUUAAAACUUCCAAUGGAAACUAUAAAUAUAUAGCGUGAUUACCUCCCAUGGAAGAGUGACACAUGAACGAGGGUUGCAGAAAGGCAAGCAAAACCAAUGCCAUAUGACAUAGCAAACAUGGUGCUAAGAUAAAGAGGGCCCUCACGCUCAUAAGCCUCCAUGUCAAGGUGAAAGUUGGAGUCUAUUAUAGCUGAUAUGUUGUACUUUCGACCAUUGGACAUGAAUAGUUCAUCUGAAAAUAUGGGAAAUCUUCUUGCGUUGUAAAGGUUUGUGGAAUAAGCAAUGGGCACAAUGGCAUAUAUGAAAAUGGCAAAACCGGCAGCAACAUUAGCCGUAGCAAACCAUGGACUGGCCAAAGGGCUACCAAGAUAAGAACAUAUACUUGACCAGUCAAAACCAAUAGCACCAACUCCAAGACCAUGCAACCCUGAACCUAACUGGUGUGCUAUUACGGAAGUGGGAAACAUCCAGCAAAUCCACGAAAUCGAUGUUAACGAAGGGAACAAGUAGCCAGGAAAAACAUAAUAAGCAAAACUGCAAAGAAAUGCUAUAAGGAAAAACUGAUUCCGAGUUAACGCUCCCUUUCGUCUCUCCUCUUUCUCAUGUAGCGCCCUGAAAUAAAUUAUGAAUGCAUGAGUUGUAAUAUUACUAUGCAACGCGGAAUUAGUAGUGCUGAUAUCUUCACACAAACAGUAAAAAAAUAUGUACAAGUAAAAAAAAUAUUUUUCUUAUUAUAAUCAUAUAGCUAUUUUUUUUAUAAUAAUAUAUUCACAACUCAUUUUUUAUAUAAUUAAUUACAACCCUUAAUUUUAUUAUUUUAAUAUUUUCAUAUCAUUUAAUUAUAAAUUUAUUUUUUAUUAUAUAUAUUUAUAUUUAAAUCUAUUACAUUAUACAACUUUCAUAAUUAUUAAAAUAUCAUUUCUCUUCAUAAUAUUUAUUUAUUAGGAUGUGAAAUGGAUAUUUUGUAAUGUGGUAUUAAGAUAUGCACCUUACUUAUUAGGGGUGUGACAACCCUCUGCUAGUACGUUUUGGUAACGGAAAAUGUUUUUAACACCAUAGUGAAAAACAUAUAUUUCACAAACAAACACUUAUACUAAUAUAAUUAUAUUAUGAAUUAAAAAUAAAAUAAAAAUAAAUAAAAUAUUAAUUUAUUAAAAUGUGAAAUUAUGUUUUUACUAUCAAUAUAUCAACACCCUUUGGCAACUUACACUUUUCAAUGUAUUUUUUAAUUCUUUUAAUCUAUUUAUUUAAUUAUAAUAAUUAAUAUUAUUUAUUUCAAUACAAAAUAAUAAUUAAAUUAAAUCUCACUUUAAUAUUUUAAUCAUAUAAGAUUUAAUAUAAAAAAUAAAAUAAUAUUAAUAAUACUUUAAUAAAUAGAAUGAUAUAGAAAAAAAAUGAUUAUAAAUAAAGUUUCUAUAUAAGGAAUGAGCAUCGUACCUGAAGAGCGAGACCUGAACAAGGUUUUGGGGCCACCACAUGGUAGCGGGUUCCACGAGGUAUUUUCGGAAUAUCCCGGCCCAACCGAAGCCCAAAACCUGAGACGUUAUAACUACCAAUAACGCCGCUAAAAUCGUUAAGUCCUUCUGGUAGAACACUUUAACGGCGCUAACGAAAUGGAUGGCGUAGACGCUAGCGGCUCCCGAACUGGCGAAGAUAGUGAUAAGCACGUGCUCCUUCACGUUGAACGACCCUGGGUUCAGCGUGAACUCCCACUUCGUCCCCUUCAUGAACACGCGCCUUGUCACCACCGCCGCCAUCAGGUGUCCCGCCGGCACCACCGCUAUCUGCGCCGAUAUCGCCGUCACCGAUAGUGGCUCCCUCCGGAAUCCGAAGAACUGGUUCAGGAAGGAGAGAAGCGCGCAAGCUAUGGUUCCCAAAAUCCAUGUCCUGAAAGUGAAGGAAGGCCGCGACGGAUCGUCGCUCACAGGAACCGUCAGCGCUACCUGCUCGAUAGGAGAAUUCUCGGCGGCCGGCGAGUUCUCCGCCACGGAGAUGGCGUCGCUGUUGUGAUGACGCCUUUUAACUGAAAAGUGAGUGAACGAAUAUGAGAAUUAGAAAGGAAAGCAUCACUGUUUGAAUCUCUUAAUAAAGAAAGAACAAAAAAGUUGUUUGGAUACUCAGAGAAAACGCACUUAAAGGAGAAUUGAUCUCAGGAUCAUUAGCCAUGUUGUUUCAAUUGGUUUUUUAUUCAUUUAAGCAUAACUCCCCACAUUUUUCUAUUAAAACAAAAAAUAAAAAAUAAUCAAAAAAAGAAUUACUAAAAUGGAAAUUAUUAUUAAAUUUUUAUAAUAUCGUUUAUUAUGGUAAUUUCUUUUAUAGGUAGUGAAGUAGAUGUCAUUGGAUGAUGAUGCUUGUCCUUUAUCACAGAUAAAGCCUUUGUAUUUGUUCCAGUUUUUGGGCAAGAUACAUUCACUGAGAAGCUCUGUUUUUUUUUCUUCAUACACAAUAUAUAAUGUUUGUCUCUUCUUGACUAAAGAGAAACUAAGGGAUGAACAAAUUACAAAUUUUUUUAGUUAUAUUUUUUUUAUGUGAUAAUUGAUAAUUUAAGUUGUAUAAUAAUAUUUAAUAUGAAUGUAUUUUAAAAAAAUAUAAAUAUAAAUAUGAUCUAAAAGAUAAGCAGAACUGGAAUUAGUGUACCCGGCAUACACCAGAGAGUUAUUGCCUUCGUUACCCACAAGGAGGAUAUUCCAUUCACGAAGACGGAGGGAUAAAAAAGUAUGCUUUAAUUCCCUUUUUAUUCCAUAUAAUUAAGAUAAAUAUUCAAUUUAUUAAGUAAUUUAAAAAAAAAAUAGGUUUUCACAAAUAAACAAUAAAAAGUAAAAUUUAUAUAUUUUACAAAGUUUUUUUUAGUUUCAAUUUGGAUUAGAUUAACUAGUUAUAUGAAUUGGAGAACUACGUAAAUAUAAUUUUAAAUUUUUUUUAUCCGUUUUUAAAUAUGAAGUUUAAAUUCAAGAAAAAAGUUUAAACACAAAUUAUAUAAACUUUAAAUAGUGAUAUUUUUUUUAUUGGAUGUGAUGUACGAUACUCUGAAAAGUAGGACAAAUCAACAUUUCUAGGCUGUUAUUGUAACUCAGAGAGAGGAAAGGAAAGGUUAUCAUAUUAACUGGUGUGUAUUACAAUGUGUUGAUAAAGAAGUAAUUUAUACACAAGGUAACACAUGGGUACCCUUAACACCCUCCCUUAAACUCAUGGUUGGAUUAGCCAUAAUCAUGAGUUUAUCCCGUACAUGCAGAAACAAUAUGCCAGAAACAGGCCUGGUAAGGGGAUCAGUAACUUGAAAGCGUGCUGGAAGAUGAAGAAGUUGAAUUUUUUGAUUACGAACUUGAUCACGAACAAAGUGGAGGUCCAAUUCAAAGUGUUUCGUUUUAGAGUGCAUAACAGGAUUUGCACUUAGCAGAACAACUCCAAGAUUAUCAGAAUACAACUUUGGUUUUGAACCUUGAAUGCACAACUCAUAAAGAAGAGAUUGAAUCCACACAAUUUCAGCAAGGAGAGUUGCAACUGCCCGGUAUUCUGCUUCCGUACUACUUCUGGAAACCGUUUUCUGUUUGUGAGAUUACCAGGAAACAAGAUUAGACCCCAUGUAAAUACAAUAGUCAGUGGUGGAUUUGCGGUCGUCAACGUCAACACCCCAAUCUGCAUCCGCAAAAACCAAUAAGAGAGGUCGUCGAGUUGUGGCGAAGAAGCAAUCCAUGUGUAAUGGUGCCAACUAAAUAACGAAGAAUUCUCUUCACAGCUUGCCAAUGGUGAAGUUUCGGAUCAUGCAUAAAAUGACAAACACGAUUAACAGAGUAAGAGAGUUUAGGCCUAGUUAUAAGAAGAUAUUGAAGUGUACAAACAACUGACCUAUACAAGGAAUGAUCAUUGAAUGAUUCAAAAGAAUUUUGUUGGAGACGCGAAGAGGAUGUCAUAGGCGUGGGUUGAGGUUUAGCAUGGAGCAUAUUUGUUUUCUGUAACAGCUCACGUAUGUACUAGUCCUGAGAGAGAUGCAUGUCACCAGUAGAUGUUCGAGAAACUUGAAUUCCUAAAAAAUGAUGAAGACUACCUAAAUCUUUUAAUGCAAAAGAAGAACGCAAAGUGGUAAUGAGGUUAGUAAUUUCAGUAGGUGAAGAUGCAGUGAUGAUUAUAUCAUCAACAUAAACCAGGACAAACAUAGUAUAAGACAAAGUGAAUUUAGUAAAUACUGAGGUAUCACUUACUGUAGAACAAAAACCAAAAUCACAUAAAGUUGUGCUAAGUUUAGAAAACCAGGACCUGGAUGCUUGCUUGAGGCCAUAAAUAGCCUUGAGUAAUUGACAUACAAGAGUGGGAUCAUGGGAGAUAAAACCUGGUUGUUGCUGCAUAUACACACGUUCAUUGAGAUCACCAUGGAGGAAAGCAUUAUCAAUGUCCACUUGACGAAUAGCCCAGUUAUUUGUAACAGCAUGCGAAAGAACAAUAUGAAUCAUGGUGGGUUUGACUACAGGACUGAAGGUCUCACUGUAGUCAAGUCCCUCAGUUUGAUUGAAGCCUUUGGCAACAAGGCGUGCCUUGCAACGUUGAAAGGAGCCAUCUGCAUGCAAUUUGGUUUUAAAAAUCCAUUUACAACCUACCAGAGAGGCAUUGGAUGGGAGAGCAGUGAGAGUCCACGUCUUUUUUUUAGGAGAGCUUGAUACUCAUCAGUCAUUGCUUGGGACCAUACAUGAGAAGUCAUAGCUUCCUUGACAAAAGAAGGAGGAGAAGGAAUAAUAGAAACAACAAUAUAAAUUUUGGAUUUAAUGAUGCCUACCUUGGCACGAGUGGUCAUGGGAUGAGUGUUAGUAGGAGGAGGAAUAGAAGGAAGACAUUCAAUAUUACCAAUUGCAGAAGCACCAAUGUCAGUAAUAGAAUUGCCAAUGGUACCAGUUGCAGAAGCACCAAUGUCAGUAGUAGAAUUGCUAUCAGAAACAACAUGCUCAUUAACAGAAUUAGUAUUUGUAUGAACAACAGUCAAAGUGGGUGAAAUAUCAUGUGUGUGCUUAUGAGAAAUAGUAGGCAUAACAAAACUAUUUGAGUCUUCAUUAUAUGGAAAAGUAGUUUCAUCAAAACGAGCAUGACGAGAAACAAUAGUCUUACCAGUGGACAGGAGACAUAUAUAGCCUUUAUUAGUUGGACUGUAUCCAAGAAAGAGAGAACAAUGUGAUCUAAAAUCAAACUUAUUAUUAUUAUAGGGGCGUAAAUUUGGAUAACAAGCACAACCAAACACUUUGAAAACAUUAUAAUCAGGUUUGCGUUUAAACAACCUAGCAUAAGGGUUAUCACCAUUCAACACAGGGGUGGGAAGAGCAUUGAUAAUGUGGGUGGAAGUGAUGAAGGCUUCUGCCCAGAAACGACGAGGCAAUGAAGCAGUGGCAAGAAGCGUUAGGCCCAUUUCAACAAUAUGCAUGUGCUUUCGUUCAACAGAUCCAUUUUGUUCAUGGGUGUAGGGACAUGUAAGUCUAUGGUGAAUGCCAUAAUGUUCAAGGAAAGGUUUAAGACAAAGAAUUUCUUUGGCAUUAUCAGUUUGAAUAGAGCAAAGUUUAGAAUUUGUUUGGUUUUCAGCAAAACUUUUGAAUUUUUUAAACACAGAGGAAACCUGAGAUUUAGUAUGAAGAACGUAUAUCCAUGUAUAUUUGGUGUAAGCAUCAAGAAAAGAGAUGUAAUACCUUGCACCAUUGGAAGCAGGUAUAGGAGUAGGACCCCCUACAUCAGCAAACACAAGUUCCAAUGAACGAGAGUAAAUGGUAAUAGAAGAAGUAAAAGGAAGCUGUUUAUUUUUACCAAGCAUACAAGCAGAGCAAAAUUUGAUAUCAGAAGAACAACGUAUAUUACAAUGCUGUAAAAUUUGUUUUAAUGUGCCAGAAUGACAGUGACCAAAACGUUCAUGCCAGAUAUUGGCUGUGAGUUUAUUAUCUACAAAUGAAGUAUGAAAAACAGAGGACAUAUGAGGAGUGUGCAUGAUUGGAAAGGUGUAGAGACCAUCCUUAAGAAUGCCGCGAAGAAGAACUUUGUUCGUAGCCUGAUCAACAACACAACAAUGGUUAGCAUGAAAUUGAAAAUACACAUGAUUGUCACGAGCAAACUGAGAAACACUAAGUAAGUUCUUGGUUAUCAGCGGAACAUGUAAUAGAUUGCACAAUAAUAAGGGUUUAUCCGUGAGAGAAGAACGAAAAAUUGCAGACCCAGUAUUAGCAAUAAACAAACCUGAGCCAUUACCCAUUUUAACAGUUUCAAUGUCGUUGUAAGGUUGUUUGGUUGAGUAGACAGUGGGAUCUUUCGUUACAUGAUGUGUAGCACCACUGUCGAGGUACCAAAGUGGAUCCUCAGUGGUGGAAUGAAUGCCCAGAAGAGACGCAUCGCUGGGUUCAGGGUCUGAGAUUGAAAACUGAGAAAAAUUAGCACGAGGAGGUGGAUUAGGUUUGUGGUCAUACCAUUGCCAACACUAAAGAGCAGCAUGACCAUAUUUGCCACAAACUUGACACGUUGGUUUGGAAGAGGUCCAAGAACCACGAGCUUGAGAUCGGGAGAAGUGAGAACCACGUGCAAAAUUUUGGGAGCGAGAAAACCCACGACCACCACGAUUGCUAUGGAACUUGAGAUUGGCUUUGUCAUUGGUGGGAUACGAAGGCGUCCAAGUUGAGAGAGCGGCAAUGGCAGGAAAACUGAGAGGAUCGAGUUGAUGAUGGCGUUCAAGACGUUCUUCUUGUACCAGAAGCAGAGCUUCAAUCUUUGCAACUUUGUAAGGAUCAGUUCUAGACAGAAUGGAAGCAACAAAGGGAUCAAAAUCAGGAGGAACACCAUCAAGAAUGGUUUCAAUGUGAUCUUCAACAGAUAUUGGGGCACCAACGGCAGCCAGCGCAUCCACCGCGCGUUUGAUAUCCAAAACAUAUGCGGAGAUAGAAAGAUCUUUUCUUUUAUUCUUUAAAAGGAGUAUGAGAAGAAAAAUACGUGUUUAGCGUCUGCCAAAUCUGUGUUGUAGAGGUAAGACCCACCAUUUGGGUUAAAAUCAGAGUGGUCAUGGACGCCAGAAGCCACGCAACCAACAAAUUAUCUUGUUGCUUGUAAGAGAUGAAUGGAAGAUUGGGACUGAGGGUUCCAUCGGCCGUAGAAAGACAGCGCGGAGGAACGUUAGUUCCGUCAAGAAACGAGGAGUGCAGCAACCCAUCAACAGUGGUCAGAACCUGUUGUUUCCACAAUAGAAAAUUUUCGUCAUCCAGUUUGAGCAUAAUAGGAGUGGUAAGGUGAUGUAGGGAGACGGAGGAGGAACUCUUGGUGGGGAGAACCUGGGUGGACGAAGAUGAUGAUGUAGAAGAAGAGGAAGAAGAAGGAGCAGAAGCCAUGAAAGAAAAGCGGAAAAAAAAAACUCUCUAGCUCAUGAUACCAUGUUAUUGUAACUCACAGAGAGGAAAGGAAAGGUUAUCAUACUAACUGAUGUGUAUUACAAUGUGUUGAUAAAGAAGUAAUUUAUACACAUGGUAACACAUGGAUACCCUUAACAUAGGCUCAUGUAUCUCAAUUCAUAUAACAAUUUUGAAUUUUAUAUCUUCAAGGAUACAAUGUAAAUACAUCAUCAAUCAUAAAUAAAUCCAUUCUUUUAUAAAACUUACACAACCUCUACAGUCAAAGAAGAAAGAAUCAUGGCAGCAUCUAUGGACAUCUUUGCCAAGUCCAUGGCUUUAAAUUGAGUCCACGGCAACAUGCUUGCAGUUUGCAAGGUACCUGCAACAUCUUUGUGGUAACAGUUGCAGCUAGAUCAACCUGCCUGCAAGGCACUCUCAACUACAAUUUACAACCAAGGCUGCAUUAACAGUUUAACACCAUUGUAUCAUUCACAAGCUUAGUAAAGAGGACACCCUUCAGAUUCAACACCUGGAGCAGUUGGACAUGAAGCUAAUGGGCACCCAUCUGAAUCACUGCCCCACCAGUUUAGGCUGAUAUGUUCCAUCCCCAAGCACAAGUAGAGCAAAACCCCCAUGAAGGCUAAACCAGCAUCAAGUGCCCCAGAUAAGACAUAGUUGUGUCGGCUCCACCAACCACGAUAGUAACGGUAAACAACAAAUCCUGAGACAAAUCCAACAAUGACCCAACUGGUGUAGUUUACUGCUGUAGCUGGAGGCAUAUCAGAUAAUGCACCCAAGAGCACAGGCACAGUGAUAAGCCUGAUCCAUUGUUUUUGAGGCAAGGCCUUGUGUGCUAGCCAAACUAAGAAAGGAGCUAUUGCUCCAGCCAAGAAAAACCAGUUAAUAGCCGAGUAGUGUCCAAGAUCCCCAAAAGUUCUACGGGGCCCUAUCAAACCCCAUAUCACAGACGCGUCAUAGAACACAUGAUCACCAGGACAAGUCCAAGGACUUCCUGCUGGAAGCAAUGCUCGUUCGCAUAUAUUUGGAACAGUGUUCAUGAGCCACCAUGCUGUUAGUAAAUGCACCACACCAGACAUUAAGGUGCCAACUACCUACAGAAGCAAGUAAGGGGGUUAUGAUACAUGAUUUACUAAUAAUUAGGUUAGUGUAUGUUUAGAUUGAAGUUUGAAGACUUAAAUUUGAAGAAACUUCAUUUUGUAAACUGAGUAUAACUCGUUCUUCUCUUUCAUUUCAAAUUGAGUUUGUUUGAACUAUAAAAUUGUGACAAAACCUAAUUUAUAAUAAUAUAGGAUCCAACUAAAAACCAAACAAGUUUUUCGGUUGUUAUUUUGAACGUAUGUCUGAAUCAAACAUGUCCUCAGACUUUGAAAGGUCAUGUAACAGAAAAACAAAAUAAAUAAAUAAAAAGAAUCACUUCUUUUUGUUUUUUCUCUGUUUUUGAAAAGAGGAAGAGAAGGUGGGCAAACCUGUGCCAAGAACAUUUCUCUAGGAGGGAUCUUCAUGUAAUGGCCAAGCUUAAAAUCUUGUAAAAAGAAAAUUGCCUGCUUCAUGCUCACAUUACCAUACACUUUAAACAACAUGUUGGCAACCGGAUAUCCUGGGUAGAUGUAUCCAAUUAUGUAUUCUGUUAUUAUAUUCAAAGCUGGUGCCUUCACGACAUGGAAACUUAGUUACUGUUAGGCUAUGUGAUUGAUAACGAAGGGGAAAAAAAAACUAUUUAAGUAAUAUGCAGUAUUUGGAAUAUGAAAGGUACCACCAAUACUGUAUUUACAUUAAUUAAGACUAAUAUGUUGUGCAAUCACUAUUUUAGUCACACCAAUCCAACCGUUAAACUGGCAGUUAAUUUAAACCACUGGGCUGAACUUGAAGCAAACAAAAAGUAGUACUUGGGUAUAAUUUAACUGUCAAGAAAUUGCACAUCCUUGUGACAUCAAUUUAAUGUUGUACCACAAACUUUUAUCAAUUAACUUUACCAUUACCGAGAAUUUUAUAACUUGUGUACCUGAUUUGUGGUGGCUCUAAUUACUCCAAUGGGAAGAGUAAAUGACAUGGCAACAACACAAGCUAACACUACACCCCACCAUGGUAGUUGGAGUUCAUUGUUGAAAUAUUCACAUAUAAAUAUAGUUGCAACGAUGUUGAACAGAAGAAUGCAAAGAAACCACCAUUCUGGAACUUGUUUGUAGUUCUUUCUCAUGAUCUUCGUGUGUAUAUCUAUCUUAUUCUCUUGGAAAGCAGACUUACUUAGUCUCAAUAUUUCACUGCAGUAUUAAGUCAACCAAUUCAACUACAGCGGCAGAUUAGUUCAUACAAUUAAAACUUCCAAUGGAAUACAUAGCGUGAUUACCUCCCAUGGAAGAGUAACACAUGAACGAGGGUUGCAGAAAGGCAAGCAAAACCAAUGCCAUAUGACAUAGCAAACAUGGUGCUAAGAUAAAGAGGGCCCUCACGCUCAUAAGCCUCCAUGUCAAGGUGAAAGUUGGAGUCUAUUAUAGCUGAUAUGUUGUACUUUUGACCAUUGGACAUGAAUAGUUCAUCUGAAAAUAUGGGAAAUCUUCUUGCGUUGUAAAGGUUUGUGGAAUAAGCAAUGGGCACAAUGGCAUAUAUGAAAAUGGCAAAGCCAACAGCAACAUUAGCCGUAGCAAACCAUGGACUGGCCAAAGGGCUACCAAGAUAAGAACAUAUACUUGACCAGUCAAAACCAACAGCACCAACUCCAAGACCAUGCAACCCUGAACCUAACUGGUGUGCUAUCACGGAAGUGGGAAACAUCCAG
This 19043-nucleotide long non-coding RNA is filed under the name Phaseolus vulgaris (common bean). Its description in RNAcentral is "long non-coding RNA (PVUL_LNC004248)". The record is from RNAcentral. Lineage: Eukaryota; Viridiplantae; Streptophyta; Magnoliopsida; Fabales; Fabaceae.